CUGGUGGUCAGUUUGAUCAGGCACCUUUUCUAGACGGAGCAAGUGGUCAGGACCCCCAUGGACCCUCACAGAGCAGAUGUAAAGUCAGAGACGACAGCUCAUCUGCUGCUGCACAGUUUGUGUUGGUCAUCCUCUAGUCCUUCAUCAGUGGUCACAGGACGCUGCCCACAGGACGCUGCCCACAGGACGCUGCCCACAGGACGCUGCCCACAGGACGCUGCCCACAGGACGCUGCCCACAGGACGCUGCCCACAGGACGCUGCUGGCUGGAUGUUUUUGGUUGGUGGACUAUUCUCAGUCCAGCAGCGACACUGAGGUGUUAAACUCCAGCAGCACUGCUGGCUGAUCCACUCAGACCAGGUGUAUAUCCACCUACUCAGUCUACAGCAGUUAAACCCCGUCCAUUUAGGCAAAGGUUAUAAAGAGUGUUGAGCUGUUUUACAUAUAUCAGUCUUAAAGGCACAGUAAGAGAUGAAGAGAGGCUGGAAAAUGGUUUUGCAUAAUUGUUCUGACACUGUGAAAUACUGUUAGAUCUAUUAUCUACAAAUAAGCAAAAGUAUAGACAAGAUUCAGGCUUGAAGAUGGCGAGUGCUACUGUUUACAGCUGUCUGAUGUGGUUUUGUCUGUUUUUAUGCAUAAUGAGAUUUGUUUCUCCAUCUGGCCUCCGAUGAGAGAAGUUCGGACACCGCUGGUCUAAAACCGUAGCGCUACCGCAGGAAAAUACGGCCAAGGUAAAAAUGAGUAGAAGUGCAAAGCCCUAAUUACGUACUGUGUAACUUAUAGAACUGCCGGGGACUGGAGUUUGUUGGACUCUACACUCUUUAAAAAAAGUUUUUUUCAAGAUGGUUUCUUUAGUAAAGAUAAUAGUUUUAUCUAGAACCAUGUACGCUCAACGAACCGUGUGUAUUUGCAAGGUGAAAUGGUUCUUCAGAUUAAUGGAGAAUGUAUAGGGUUCUAUCUUAAAACUUUUUGAAAAUGGUUCUAUAUAGCACCAAAAACUGUUCUGCUGUUGUUAUGAUGUCAAAUUUAUAGUAAUACAUACACAACUUCUAAGCCGCUUCUCCUUCUGGGUCGCGGGGGGAGGCUGGAGCCUAUCGCAGCGGUCAUCGGAAGGCAGGACACACCCUGGACAGGUCACCAGUGCGUCACAGGGCAGACAGACUGUGGGAGAAAACCGGAGAACCCGGAAGAAACCCACACAGACACGGGGAGAACAUGCAAACUCCACACAGAGAGGACCCCGGUCACCCGGCCAGGGAAUCAAACCCAGACCCUUCUUACUGUGAGGUGACGGCACUACCCACCACGCCACCGUGCCGCCCUAGUAAUAAACAAUAGAACCCUUUUUGCUGCUAUAUAGAACCAUAUCGCUGUUGUCAUAUGCCGUAUCUCUAAAAUCAUAACUUUACAGGAGAAGGAAAAACAUACUCUACUUUUAAUGCAAGUCAAUGGAACCAGAAUUUUCAGUCAUUUUGGGCCGUUUCUUUUGGUCCGUUCUUCAUGAAACUUCCACACGAUAUUUUUAAAUUGUCAAAACGUGAAAGACAAAUAUGGAGAUACAAGGUUUUCUUCCAACUGCCGCGGUAUACAGCACAUUUUCCAUCAAUCUGAAGAACCAUUACACCGUGCAGAGAACCCUUCAAGCAUCGAGUGCUCAUGGUUCGACAUAGAACCAUUGUUUUAACUAAAGAACUAUUUUUUAAAAAGUGUACAUUUCAAUAUUUGGAUCAUUUUGAUGUAAAACAAAAGGGUAAAGCUGCGAAGUGAGACCUCUGACCAAUCACAGAGCAUUACAGACGCUGACCCAAUACAACAGAAUGAAAUUAAUCACCAAAAAGGAUCUAAAGGUUAAUGAAUAAAGUGUAACUGACUGAGGAACGUACAGAUGUAGAUGUAGUGUCGCUGUGUUGUGCUGGAAGGCUGUUGCUCUGCGUCACAUGCCGUGCCGUAUGUGAGCCUGAAGGAAUGUGUCAACAGAGAGACUCUCACCAAACCAGCAGAUUCCUGUCCUGCCUCCCCCCAGCUUCGGUAAACACUCAGGACCCCCGAGAUCAUCAGCCUGAGACUAACUGUUUCAGUAUCAGGAGGGCUCUCGUCUCCUCUACCGUCCACUCUGACCGCUCACAGACUUAGCUGUGAACUUUGGUCCCGAUGACCUUGUCGAACAUCCUUCAACAGAGACAUGCAGGUCAAUGCCCCCGAGCCCCAAAGACCAUGAGAACCAGUGGAUGAGUCUGUCAGACACAUGCAAACACACACACACACACACACACACACACACACACACACACACACACACACAGGAUCAUCAUUCCGGGUUGGGUCUCUAUCCACCGAGUGUCCGUGUCCACUCUCGAGUCUCUGCGAUGCGAGUUUGAAUUAAGCCUCGAUUUACUGGAUGUGCGGUCAAGUCCUGAGUCUGAAUCCAGCCUCGACUCUGAUGUCUGUUUCAUAAGUGUUUGUGGUGCAACCCUGAACCAUGUCUUAAGGUACUGUAGUGCGAGUCUGAGUCA
Long non-coding RNA from Pygocentrus nattereri (red-bellied piranha), 2513 nucleotides. Lineage: Eukaryota; Metazoa; Chordata; Actinopteri; Characiformes; Serrasalmidae. The record is from Ensembl.